UGAACGCUGGCGGCGUGCCUAAUACAUGCAAGUCGAGCGAACGGACGAGAAGCUUGCUUCUCUGAUGUUAGCGGCGGACGGGUGAGUAACAUGUGGAUAACCUACCUAUAAGACUGGGAUAACUUCGGGAAACCGGAGCUAAUACCGGAUGAUAUUUUGAACCGCAUGGUUCAAAAGUGAAAGACGGUCUUGCUGUCACUUAUAGAUGGAUCCGCGCUGCAUUAGCUAGUUGGUAAGGUAACGGCUUACCAAGGCAACGAUGCAUAGCCGACCUGAGAGGGUGAUCGGCCACACUGGAACUGAGACACGGUCCAGACUCCUACGGGAGGCAGCAGUAGGGAAUCUUCCGCAAUGGGCGAAAGCCUGACGGAGCAACGCCGCGUGAGUGAUGAAGGUCUUCGGAUCGUAAAACUCUGUUAUUAGGGAAGAACAUAUGUGUAAGUAACUGUGCACAUCUUGACGGUACCUAAUCAGAAAGCCACGGCUAACUACGUG
RNAcentral lists this ribosomal RNA (495 nucleotides) under uncultured bacterium. RNAcentral describes it as "partial 16S ribosomal RNA". It matches the Rfam family "Bacterial small subunit ribosomal RNA", at positions 30 to 507 of the family's 1533-position model. The record is from RNAcentral.